UAUAUAUAUAUUCACCUUGUAUGUACUUUUAAUCGUAUACGGUGCUUUAUGCCAAAACCAGAGCCUUAGGAUUGUUUAAGAGACAAGAUUUCUUUGUGAUAAUGAUAGAGUAAAUUAAUUGGGUAAGUGGAUAUUGCUUUCUGGAAUAGGAGAGAUUAUUAGGUGUACCAUAUUACAUAUUACAAGAGGGCAUACACUUUUGUGAGAGAGGGAGCACUCUUCGUUGGAAUAGAAUUGGGCUACUGUUUUACCAACUUAUGAGAUAUUCUUUUUACUUCUGGGUAUAUGAAAUCUUUCAUUUUUCUAUUUUUGACUUUUAACCUUUUUUUUUUGGCGGGAAUAUUCCUCCAUUUAUACUCUUUGGAUUGGUCGUCGAGGAGGAACAUAAAGUCAAUGUUUGGUUUUGUUCUGUGUUUCAAAAUGUUUAGUAUGUUGUCUAAUUACUUAUUUAUAGAUUUAUAUUUCUUGAUGGACUUAUUUAAUUUUCAAAUAUUAUGUAUUUUUGUACCUUUUAUUAGAUUCAACCUAUUAGCUUUGUUAUGUGUCAAUUUUGCACUGGUAAUUUUGUUAUUCAUCUUUUGAUUUCUUUUUCUUAUUGUUUUAAUAUUUGCUGAAUAUGAGUAUUUAACCAUACACAUACAUAAGUAGACUGUUUUAAGUCUUAUAUUAUUGGGUGGUUCAUCCUGCCUCUUUGCCCUUUUACGGAUUGGGUCCACCGGUUUAAGACUCUGAAAUAGAGUGGAUCACUGGCUCCCAAUAAUUUAUGUAUCUAAUGAUACUCAGUGAUCACCCUCUAAUAAGUUGCAUUUGUAUGAUGAUGGUGAUGCCUCAUUGCGUGGCAGUAACUUGAAAUUUAGCAUUGGUGUGUUUUAUUGUAGUUUUGAAUUAUAUUGUUAUAAUUCAGUUGAACACGGUUGGGGGCAUUAAUUAACUAGGGGAGAUAUGCCACUCUUGUGUAGGCAAGAGCGAAGCUAGGAAUUGAACGAAUGGAGUCAAAAAAAUUUUAUUUUGCCCAAUUCAGAGGAAAGAAAAAAAAGUUUUGACACCAAGUUUAAUAAGAAUUUGUAUUAAAUUUAAUUGUAUUAAAUUUAAUUUUACACUAUAAUAUAUAACAAUGAUAUUUAUAAUUUUUUUACAAUUAUUAGGUGUCAAUUGUCAAAAUAAUAAGUGCAAUAAUGAUUAAUCUAUUAAAUAUGAAAUAAAAUACUAAAACAACAUAAGAGUAUAUGAAAUUGUUUUGUUUACUUUACCUAUGAGUCUUUAACUUGAUUCCUUAUUGUAGAAAAAUCAAACAAACAUGAAUUUGCAAUUGAUUGUAACAUUAAACAAAUAAAGUUUACCUACAACUAAAUACACAUGAAUAAUUAGAAAACCUUAAUUCUUCAUUAUUCAAUAGAAUAAUAGAAUAUGAAUUAUAAAAUACAAAAUAAAAUUUACUUUAUGAAAUUGAAUUUGUCCAUUAAUUUUAUUGACACAAAAAUGAAAAGGAAAAAAAAACAAAGCUAGUUGGUGGAGAAUGAGAGAAAGAAAUAAAAGAGAGAUAUGAGAGAGGGGAAAAAUUGUGGUUUUGUAAAUAUAAUAUGAGAAGGAGAAGAGAUGGAAGAAAGGGAAGAGUUAGAGAGAAGAAGAGGUGGUUGUGUCUUUUAGAGUUUUUAGCAGAUAAGUUUUGAAUUUUUUUUUUAGGUUUUAUUAUUUACUUUAAAACAUUAAAUUAAUAGGUGUUUAGAGUGAAGUGUCCAACAGGUCUAAGUUUAUUAAAUAUAAUAUUAUUUUAAAGAUUUUAGUGGAGUAAAAAAAUUAAUUGACCCCACUCAACAUAAGCAAAUCCACUGUUGUGUGUAGGGCCUCUAGGCCAUGGCACAAUAGGCCUUUUAUAUUAGAUCAAAAGAAACAUGACAGAAAAUUGUUUUGAACUAUUGCGACAUUUG
RNAcentral lists this unclassified non-coding RNA (1928 nucleotides) under Hevea brasiliensis (rubber tree). Lineage: Eukaryota; Viridiplantae; Streptophyta; Magnoliopsida; Malpighiales; Euphorbiaceae. The record is from RNAcentral.